GUCGGGACGUCGGGCGUCGAGACGGACGUCGUACUAGGGUGAACGGUUUCGUUACGCCACUGCCGUCGAGCCCUCCGUCGAGUUCGCCGACGGUUUUCGAGUGGUUGGUAAAAUUUUGACAAACUUGGACAAAUCGACUAGAUUUGAAGUCGUGCGUCAACUAAAUAAUCCUGCUUUGCGUCAUUGAUACGUCCAUUCCACAUAAUGCAGAGACUGAGAAGUGCGGUCGCCUUUUCAACUUCGCUGUCGGAUUUUCAAAAAAGCUGACGUCAAAAGUUCGGUAGUAGUUGGUUUCAUAGUUUCAUGUACGUAAUAUAAUACGGCGUGUGAAAAUGAUAAUGAAAAUUUCGAACAAUCCUCGUCACUUUUCAUCGUUGAUCAUCCUUUUCCUUACUUUUCAAACCGGUGCUGCCAUCGAUUGUUUCAAAUGCGUUUCGAUCGGGGGUAACAAUAAGGCUUGCGACGAUCCCUUCCACAACAAUGGUACCCUCGGUUUCCUGGAGACGCCAUGUCUUGGAGGUCGCAAGGGACGCGACGGCUUGUUUCCGGCUACAGCCUGCAUCAAAAUUGCUGGAAUUUACGACGAAUCCGGGGUUUCGUUGACGGUGAGGAGCUGUGCCUUGGACAGCGGGACCCUGACGACGGACUCGGAGAUCAUCAGGAUGUCUCACUGUGGCGGAUUCUACUUCGACGAGAAGUACGUUCGAGGCUGUGUUCAAUCCUGCAGCGACGCCGACGCCUGUAACAGGUCUGGAAAAAAUCCACACUCGGCGGUCCUGAUCCUUGCGAUUUUCGCAGUCCUUGGUCGGCUUUGACCUGCAAUUCCUCGCGAUGCUUGAUCGUUGAAUCGAUGAUCGAGCCGCCGGAUACAUCGCGAGAACAACGAAGCUAAUUUGUCACAUCUUCGCCGGAACCUAAAGACCGAGCUCCUGCAGCGAGGCGUCGUUAUUUUGCAUCGUUCCCAAAAUAACUUCAAUCUUUUCGAGCGUGAGUCGUCCCUUUGAUGCUCUCAACGAUGACAGCUUCAACUACGAUGACCUGGUGGCCCUCUGCACUAGUAUCGUUAUCGUCGGCAUCUGGGUGAUCAGCUUCAAAAUGUACAUCGAUUCCUUGAAGCAGAUGAUGUCCGGAUCCUUUUCGUUUCUUCCGCCUUCACCAAUCUGCGGACGAAUACCUUCAAUAUUUUUCCCCCCGUCGCGUUAUCGGCUUCCUUUUCACAGCGACCAUCGUCCUUCUUACAUAGAAAGACGAGACUCGUCCAAAUCCUAUUUUGAUUCAAACAAGUUUUGCGAUUGAUUUGUGCAAAAAAUAUACCUCCUCUAUCGCUGUGUCAUUUUUUCCUUUUCUCAUUGCGUUUCUGCGGAUUUUACACUCGAAUUACCGCUGUUAAUGUUAGCCAUUGUUUGCCAGUCCCUUUGAUUUUUCAAACACCCA
Molecule: unclassified non-coding RNA, 1434 nt
Filed under: Neodiprion lecontei (redheaded pine sawfly)
Lineage: Eukaryota; Metazoa; Arthropoda; Insecta; Hymenoptera; Diprionidae
Description: uncharacterized LOC107224595, transcript variant X1
Source: RNAcentral